This 22-nucleotide microRNA is filed under the name Oreochromis niloticus (Nile tilapia). RNAcentral's name for it is "oni-miR-10575". Lineage: Eukaryota; Metazoa; Chordata; Actinopteri; Cichliformes; Cichlidae. The record is from miRBase by way of RNAcentral.
AUUCUGAUUCACAUGAACUCGU